Molecule: ribosomal RNA, 433 nt
Filed under: uncultured bacterium
Lineage: Bacteria
Description: partial 16S ribosomal RNA
Rfam family: Bacterial small subunit ribosomal RNA
Source: RNAcentral
AACGAACGCUGGCGGCAUGCCUAACACAUGCAAGUCGAACGAGACCUUCGGGUCUCGUGGCGCACGGGUGCGUAACGCGUGGGAACCUGCCCUUAGGUUCGGAAUAACUCCCCGAAAGGGGUGCUAAUACCGGAUAAUGUCUUCGGACCAAAGAUUUAUCGCCUUUGGAUGGGCCCGCGUUGGAUUAGCUAGUUGGUAGGGUAAAAGCCUACCAAGGCGACGAUCCAUAGCUGGUCUGAGAGGAUGAUCAGCCACACUGGGACUGAGACACGGCCCAGACUCCUACAGGAGGCAGCAGUGGGGAAUAGUGGACAAUGGGCGAAAGCCUGAUCCAGCAAUGCCGCGUGAGUGAUGAAGGCCUUAGGGUUGUAAAGCUCUUUUACCCGGGAUGAUAAUGACAGUACCGGGAGAAUAAGCGCCGGCUAACUCCGUG